This 301-nucleotide ribosomal RNA is filed under the name uncultured bacterium. RNAcentral describes it as "partial 16S ribosomal RNA". It matches the Rfam family "Bacterial small subunit ribosomal RNA", at positions 509 to 808 of the family's 1533-position model. The record is from RNAcentral.
CAGUACCACGGUAAUGCGUAGGGUGCGAGCGUUAAUCGGAAUUACUGGGCGUAAAGCGUGCGCAGGCGGUUGUGUAAGACAGGUGUGAAAUCCCCGGGCUUAACCUGGGAACUGCGCUUGUGACUGCACAGCUAGAGUAUGGCAGAGGGGGGUGGAAUUCCACGUGUAGCAGUGAAAUGCGUAGAGAUGUGGAGGAACACCGAUGGCGAAGGCAGCCCCCUGGGCCAAUACUGACGCUCAUGCACGAAAGCGUGGGGAGCGAACAGGAUUAGAUACCCGAGUAGUCCCUGUCUCUUAUACA